GCUUACGGCCACACCACCUGCUUCACGCCCGAUCUCGUUUGAUCUCGGAAGCUAAGAUAGGGUGGGCCUGGUUAGUACUUGGAUGGGAGACCGCCUGGGAAUACCAGGUGCUGUAAGCU
This 119-nucleotide ribosomal RNA is filed under the name Scophthalmus maximus (turbot). Lineage: Eukaryota; Metazoa; Chordata; Actinopteri; Pleuronectiformes; Scophthalmidae. The record is from RNAcentral.